GUGGGGAAUAUUGGACAAUGGGCGCAAGCCUGAUCCAGCCAUGCCGCGUGAGUGAUGAAGGCCCUAGGGUUGUAAAGCUCUUUCACCGAUGAAGAUAAUGACGGUAGUCGGAGAAGAAGCCCCGGCUAACUUCGUGCCAGCAGCCGCGGUAAUACGAAGGGGGCUAGCGUUGUUCGGAAUUACUGGGCGUAAAGCGCACGUAGGCGGAUAUUUAAGUCAGGGGUGAAAUCCCAGAGCUCAACUCUGGAACUGCCUUUGAUACUGGGUAUCUCGAGUAUGGAAGAGGUGAGUGGAAUUCCGAGUGUAGAGGUGAAAUUCGUAGAUAUUCGGAGGAACACCAGUGGCGAAGGCGGCUCACUGGUCCAUUACUGACGCUGAGGUGCGAAAGCGUGGGGAGCAAACAGGAUUAGAUACCCCAGUAGUCCU
This 426-nucleotide ribosomal RNA is filed under the name uncultured bacterium. RNAcentral's name for it is "partial 16S ribosomal RNA". It matches the Rfam family "Bacterial small subunit ribosomal RNA", at positions 354 to 797 of the family's 1533-position model. The record is from RNAcentral.